RNAcentral lists this transfer RNA (72 nucleotides) under Bos taurus (domestic cattle). It matches the Rfam family "tRNA". From Rfam's summary of the family: Transfer RNA (tRNA) molecules are approximately 80 nucleotides in length. Their secondary structure includes four short double-helical elements and three loops (D, anti-codon, and T loops). Further hydrogen bonds mediate the characteristic L-shaped molecular structure. tRNAs have two regions of fundamental functional importance: the anti-codon, which is responsible for specific mRNA codon recognition, and the 3' end, to which the tRNAs corresponding amino acid is attached (by aminoacyl-tRNA synthetases). tRNAs cope with the degeneracy of the genetic code in two manners: having more than one tRNA (with a specific anti-codon) for a particular amino acid; and 'wobble' base-pairing, i.e. permitting non-standard base-pairing at the 3rd anti-codon position. The record is from Rfam by way of RNAcentral. RNAcentral also lists the same sequence under 4 other names. Lineage: Eukaryota; Metazoa; Chordata; Mammalia; Artiodactyla; Bovidae.
UCUUCGUUAGUAUAGUGGUGAAUAUCCCCGCCUGUCACGCCAGAGACCGGGGUUCGAUUCCCCGACGGGGAG